UGGGGAAUAUUGGACAAUGGGGGCAACCCUGAUCCAGCCAUGCCGCGUGUGUGAAGAAGGCCUUUUGGUUGUAAAGCACUUUAAGCAGUGAAGAAGACUCCAUGGUUAAUACCCAUGGACGAUGACAUUAGCUGCAGAAUAAGCACCGGCUAACUCUGUGCCAGCAGCCGCGGUAAUACAGAGGGUGCAAGCGUUAAUCGGAAUUACUGGGCGUAAAGCGAGCGUAGGUGGCUUGAUAAGUCAGAUGUGAAAGCCCCGGGCUUAACCUGGGAACGGCAUCUGAUACUGUUAGGCUAGAGUAGGUGAGAGGAAGGUAGAAUUCCAGGUGUAGCGGUGAAAUGCGUAGAGAUCUGGAGGAAUACCGAUGGCGAAGGUAGCCUUCUGGCAUCAUACUGACACUGAGGUUCGAAAGCGUGGGUAGCAAACA
RNAcentral lists this ribosomal RNA (427 nucleotides) under uncultured bacterium. RNAcentral's name for it is "partial 16S ribosomal RNA". It matches the Rfam family "Bacterial small subunit ribosomal RNA", at positions 355 to 774 of the family's 1533-position model. The record is from RNAcentral.